Molecule: ribosomal RNA, 253 nt
Filed under: uncultured bacterium
Lineage: Bacteria
Description: partial 16S ribosomal RNA
Rfam family: Bacterial small subunit ribosomal RNA
Source: RNAcentral
UACGUAGGGGGCAAGCGUUGUCCGGAAUUAUUGGGCGUAAAGAGCGCGUAGGCGGUCCGGUAAGUCAGCUGUGAAAGUCAAGGGCUCAACCCUUGAAAGCCGGUUGAUACUGUCGGGCUAGAGUCCGGAAGAGGCGAGUGGAAUUCCCGGUGUAGCGGUGAAAUGCGCAGAUAUCGGGAGGAACACCUAUGGCGAAGGCAGCUCGCUGGGACGUUACUGACGCUGAGACGCGAAAGCGUGGGGAGCAAACAGG